GUUCUAUUAUUAGAAAAUUAGAAAUGUCUUCCUCUGUAGUCUGUAGAAGUAUUAAAAAAAAAAAAAAGCAAAUACGAACUUAGUUAAUACUACCAACGUAAUACAUACUUCAACCAACAUAAAUUCCAAAAUACUUAAAAUACAUACUUCAACCAACAUAAAUUCCAAAAUACUUAAAAUACAUACUUCAACCAACAUAAAUUCCAAAAUACUUAAAAUACAUAUGACUGCAAAUUAAAGGACAAUUAUUCAUAUGGGUGUUAUUGGAGUGUGGUUAUCCCCGGUUUAGUUUAAUUUAUCUUGGUUAUGUUAACCGAGAUUGUAUAGCUUUAGUAUACUUGUAUAAAUACUCUGUACAGAUACAUUUUACAAUCUAAUGAGAAAUAAAUAUUCAUAACAAAUUUUCUCAUCUUCUUCUCUCUCAAGUAAUAUGGUAUCAGAGCCAUCAAGCUCGAAUCUCCAUUGAUUUCGAUUUGAUUUCUUCGUUUUUGAGCUCAAAACUCAUCAUCUACAAUGGUGACAGCUCGUGUUAUUCGGAAAUCCACUCGAUCGAAGUCUGGAACAAGCUCAGCUACUCGGAAAACGUCGCGAUCGUCUGAUGUUGUUGAAUCUCCUCCGCCUACUCCUCCAGUUGCUAAAUCUCGAGCUUCUAGAGCUUCGCGCACCGUCGCAACAUCGGAAUACUCAGAUCAGGCGUAUUCUCUUUUCUUCCUUCACAGUGCCGAUCAUCCAGGUUUGGUUUUAGUCGCGAUUCGUUUAGAUGGAACUAACUAUGAUGAUUGGGAUGAUGCGAUGCGUAUUGCUUUAGAUUCAAAAGGGAAAAUAGGAUUUAUAGAUGGAUCCUUAGCUCGUCCUGAUGAAUCGGAUGCAAAUUUUCCUAUCUGGUCUAGAUGCAACAGUAUGAUAAAGUCUUUGCUCUUGAAUUCGGUUUCUCCACAGAUCUAUCGCAGUAUCUUGAGAUUGAAGGAUGCUUGUGAUAUUUGGCGUGAUCUGUAUAGCCGAUUUCAUAUGAGUAAUCUUCCAAGAACUUUUAAUCUCACACAAGAGAUUCAAGAUCUUCGUCAAGGAUCUAUGACUUUGAUGGAGUACUAUACGACUUUGAAGACUUUAUAGAGCAAUUUGGAGAACAGUGAAGAACUUGAUGAACCUUGUACCUGUGGUAAAGCUGCUCGUCUGCAAUUGAAGGCAGAGAGAGCUAAAAUUGUUAAGUUUCUUGCAGGACUUAAUGAUUCCUAUGCUAUCAUCAGGAGGCAGAUUAUCAUGAAGAAGGUUCUCCCUAGCCUUGCUGAAGUCUAUAAUAUUCUUGAUCAGGAUGAUAGUCAGAAAGGAUUUUCAACUCUGGCUGUUACUCCUGCUGCUUUUCAAGUCUCAGAAGUUGAGAUUUCCUCUGGACAAGAUCCCACAAUUUGUUAUGUACAAACUGGUCCAAACAAAGGAAGACCUAUCUGUUCUUAUUGUAAUCGUGUGGGACACAUUGCAGAGAGAUGCUAUAAAAAGCAUGGAUUUCCCCUGGUUUUACACCUAAGGGUAGAGUUUUUGAUAAGUUUGGUGCAGGUAAACCAAAGCCUAUUGCUGCUCAAGUGACUUUGGCUACUCCACCAGAUGAAGAAUCUCAGAAUGUGGAAAGUAUGAUUGGAAAUUUAAGCAAAGAUCAGAUUCAGCAGUUUAUUGCACUCUUCAGUUCUCAGUUACAGACUCAUGCAGUUGCUACUGGAUCAAAUGAAGCUAGCUCAUCUAAAUCUGAUUACACUAGUAUUUCUUUCUCUCCUUCUACCUACUGUUUUGUUGGCAUUUUGACAGUCUCCAAGACUACUAUUUCUCCACAGACUUGGGUUAUAGACUCAGGAGCAACUCAUCAUGUUGCUCAUGAUAGAAGCUUAUUCUUGAAUAUUGAUACUUCUGUUAUGAGUUGUGUGAAUUUGCCAGCAGGUCCAACAGUUAAGAUCAGUGGUGUUGGCACAAUUAGGAUUAAUGCUCAUAUCCUUCUACAGAAUGUGCUAUUCAUUCCAGAAUUCAGAUUGAACUUGAUCAGUAUCAGUUCUUUGAUUAGUGAUCUUGGUUUCAGAGUUAUAUUUGAUCAUAAUUCUUGUGAAAUCCAGGAUCUUACCAAGGAGUUAACAAUUGGAAAAGGUAGGAGGGUGGCAAAUCUAUACGUAUUGGAUGUUGAAGAAUCUGAAGUCUCAAUUAAUGCAGUCUUUGAUGUUAGUAUGUGGCACCAGAGAUUAGGCCAUCCUUCAUAUAGCAGAUUGGAUGUUCUUUCUCAAUCUCUAGGCACUACUAGACAUAAGAAUAAAGGCUCAGCAUACUGUCAUGUGUGUCAUUUAGCCAAACAGAAGAAGUUAUCUUAUAUUUCCCCCAAUAACAUUUGUAAUUCAAACUUUGAGUUAUUACAUAUUGAUAUUUGGGGUCCUUUCUCUGUUGAAUCAGUUGAUGGAUUUCGUUAUUUUCUGACUAUAGUUGAUGAUCAUUCAAGAGCCACUUGGGUUUAUUUGUUGAGAAAUAAAGCAGAGGUUCUCACAGUAUUUCCAGGAUUUUUGAACUUGAUAGAGAAUCAGUAUAAUGUCAGAGUUAAGGCAGUGAGAUCAGAUAAUGCACCUGAGCUGAAAUUCACCAGAUUUUAUCAAGAAAAAGGAAUUCAGUCUUUUCACUCUUGUCCUGAAACACCAGAACAGAAUUCAGUGGUAGAGCGUAAGCACCAGCAUAUUCUUAAUGUGGCUCGUGCGUUGAUGUUUCAGUCUAAACUUCCUCUACAGUAUUGGAGUGAUUCAAUUUUAACUGCUGUGUUCCUCAUCAAUAGGACACCUUCUCAGCUACUUUUGAAUAAGACUCCAUAUGAAGUUUUGACUGGCACUACACCGGUUUAUGAUCAACUCAGGACUUUCGGUUGUUUGUGUUAUUGCUCAACUUCUCCACAACAGAGACAUAAGUUUCAGCCUCGUUCUAAAGCAUGUCUGUUCUUGGGAUACCCUGCAGGUUAUAAGGGAUACAAGUUACUGGAUUUAGAGACUAAUAAAAUUUCUAUUUCCAGGAAUGUUGUAUUUCAUGAAGAGAUUUUCCCAUUGGCUAAAGAUCCGGAUAAUGAUGAAGCUUUGAAGUUCUUUACAUCGACAGAUUCUGUGCCUCCAGGUAACAUCGAUCCAUCAUUUUUCCCUCCAUCACAAAUUUCUGAUCUACCAUUACAAAUUUCUUCUAAAAGAGCUAAGAAAUCUCCAGCUCAUCUUCACGACUAUCAUUGUUAUUCAAUAAACUCUGAUAUUCAACACCCUAUUUCUUCUUCCAUUUCAUAUUCAAACAUUUCACCCUCUCAUCUCUCAUAUAUCAACAAUAUCACCAAAAUUCCUAUUCCUACUACUUUUAAAGAGGCACAUGAAUCUGAAGAAUGGUGUAAAGCGGUUGAUGCAGAGAUUGGUGCAAUGGAAUCUACAGAUACAUGGGAGAUUACAACUUUACCUCCAAGAAAGAAGCCUGUUGGUUGUAAGUGGGUGUUUACUCUGAAGUUUCUUGCAGAUGGCAGUCUAGAGAGAUAUAAGGCUCGUCUUGUUGCAAAGGGGUAUACUCAGAAAGAAGGAGUUGAUUAUACUGAGACGUUUUCCCCUGUUGCUAAGAUGGCUACUAUUAAGUUGUUACUCAAAGUGUCUGCAAGCAAGAAGUGGAUAUUAACACAACUUGAUAUAUCAAAUGCGUUUCUUAAUGGUGAAUUGGAGGAGGAGAUAUUCAUGAAACUUCCUGAAGGUUAUGCAGCCAGAAAAGGUAUUUCUUUACCUCCUAAUGCUGUUUGUAAACUUAAAAGAUCCAUUUAUAGACUUAAACAGGCAUCUAGGCAAUGGUUUAAGAAAUUUUCCACCUCAUUGAUGAAUAUGGGUUUUCUAAAAGGUCAUGGGGAUCACACUUUGUUUGUGAAAUGCUAUGGAGAUGAUUUUGUUGCAGUUCUAGAAUAUGUUGAUGAUAUAGUCAUAGCUAGCACUGCAGAUCAUUUGGCUACUCUGGUAACUCAAGGAUUACAGAGUCAGUUUAAAUUGAGAGAUUUGGGACCUCUGAAGUAUUUUUUGGGAUUGGAAAUUGCUCGUACAUCUGAAGGUAUUUCUCUUUGCCAAAGAAAGUAUGCUUUGGAGUUGCUUUCAGCUACUGGUAUGUUGGGAUGCAAGCCAACUUCAGUUCCUAUGAUUCCUAAUGUCAAGUUACAGAAAGCGGAUGGUAUAUUAUUGGAGGAUAAAGAAGAAUAUCGCUGAAUUGUUGGAAAGUUGAUGUAUCUGACUAUUACUAAGCCAGACAUCACUUUUGUAGUGAAUAAAUUGUGUCAAUUUACUUCAGCUCCACGCACCACUCAUCUUGCGGCUGUUGUGGAUGUCGGAUUCACACACUCAAGUAUUUUAUUAAGUAGGAAAGAUUAUUCUUGAGGGACAAAAAUGAAUAGGUAAAAACUUCUAAAUUGCUACGAAAAUUGCUAUAGUAUUUCUUUCUUGAGAGGAAGAUCCCCUUACAUGGCCAUUGGCCUUUAUAUUUAUACAUAGAGAAUCGUCAUUAAAAUGAAUAAUUAAGUACAAUUAUUCCCUCUUAAAUGUGUCCGUUUAGAUUCUUCGCCUUUAAUGCCCAACGUUUGAAUUUGAGUUGACUCUGAUCUCCAUGGGCCUCGCCCUUUCUGGCCCAAGUGUCCUUGAACCGACUUACCCAUGUCUUCUACAUCGAACUCGUGUCACAGUGCAGCCACUUCGAACUCUCGAAGUGGUGAUAACCACUUCGACCGUUCCUUCGGCUCAUGGGUUCAAUGGGCUUUGUCCUUUAUGGGCCAUUAUCUUGACUACGUGGCAAUCUUUGGUUGGUCCCGGACUUCUGGUGCGGGAUCCGACACCAACAAUUAGCCCCCCAAGUUCUUCGAAGUGCUAUUUCAAUUCGGAGGACUUUAAAUGCUCAAGUGGCCAAAGAUUGCGCUCGAGAAUCUUUCUGAUUUCCCGCCGAAAAUCUCAUCACCCCUUUAAUUUCGGCACUAGCCUUUUUUAACUGAGUGACAUCUGUCAUCAUUAUGACCGUAUAUUGAUUAAUUACUAUUAAAACGGGAAAAAACCUUCCCACUUCCCACGCAACUUCCGAGGCGGUUUCAUCAUUAGCUUGAGGUAACUUCUUUUCACCAUUAUUCUCUUCUUUUACUUUUGUGCUUUAAUCAAAACCUCUCUCUACUUUUCUUCACAAAAAACCUCUCUUCGCCGGAUCUUGAAUUUUUCAUUUUUCUCCGAUGACUUCCGAUUCCGAGAGACCUGAAUCUCCUUCUUACGAUGAGAGGCGUUCUAGUAAUGAUGAAUGCACUCGUCCUAAUGAUAUUGCCGGUCCUCAUUACAAAUCCACCUGCACUCUUCAGUCCCUUGAGCGAUUAAAGGGGCUCUGUCAAAUUCCUCCUGGAAUCAUAGCGGAGGCGCAAAUAGCCGACCCCACGGAAUCCCCGGAGAACCACCGUGUCGGCUACUUUUGUGUUUACGAAAUUUACUUCAAGGGCUGCGGAUUGACCUUCCCCCUUCCCGAAGCCCUAGUUCGAUUCUUGGCGGCUCUCGAGAUUGCCUUACCUCAAUUAACCCCCAAUCUCCUCCGAACCAUCCUCGGGAUUAUAACCGUUGCGGCGGAGGCUGGCUGCGUCAUUGGAGUCCCCGAGCUGAAUGAACUUCUAAGUGUGAGAAGUUCGUCAAAGAAAACAGGAUACUUUUUGGCAUACCCAAAUGCCAAUAGAAACGUCAUUUCGCACCUCCCGAACAAGGAUGAAAACUGGCACCAUCCUUGGUUUCUGAUUAAGAAAACUCCUGCUUCGAUUGGGAAUCUUUCCGAUGUACUUCCAUCGAAGUGGUCUACGAAACCUGGUAGAGACUAGGUCGUAUAUUCCUUUCCUGUUCAUUAUUAUUUCUUUACUGACCAAAUUCGUUGUUUCAUUUCGCAGCUCUCAUCGCUCCAACUCUCCCGACUGAAGAAUUUGUCAAGUUCUUCAAAACACUCCUUGAAGGGGAAACCCUUUGGAAUUCUUUCACCCUCGAUCGGUUUAUCGAGGCCAACCGAAAACUCAGGAUGAGUCCUCCCAAUCUACUUCAUCGUCUUCCGCCUCCUCCCUCGACUCAGGGAAUGUCAGCUCGGGCCCUCGUUGCCCAGCAUAAGAAACUCUCCAAGCCGAUAGCAGAGGCUUGUGAUGAAAACAAGGCGUUCCUUGCGGCCGCCAUCGACAAAAAAGAUUACAGCAGGACCCUGCUGGUUGAUGACAACAGCUCCGAGGGAGCCAGAUCCGUUGCUGCUUAUAGGUUAACACCUCGUCGCGAACGCCGCGACGAAUGUUCUCCUCGGAGAGAACGGUCUCCCCGUCGUGAUUCUCCUCGUCCUUCCCGAGACGAUUUGAGCAACGAACCACUUAAGAAUUUGGUUCGUAAGAAGAGGGACAAGUCGUCCCGUGAUGACUCGUCUCCGCGAAGGGAGAAAUCAAGGGCCCGGACUGACCGUUCACCUCGAUCAUCCCCUCCUACUGAACCAAUGGGUCCUCCACGACCUGUUGACAUGUCUUCUUCUUCCCACCCCGUCAGCGAAAAGACUGCUCGGAGUGCAUCCCCUAAAAGGGGAGAUUCUGAAUCUCGAGAUGCUUCCUCGAGGUUGAAGCCUGCUCUUAUCCCUCAAGUCAAAUCGCUUUCAGGUUUGGUGACUUACACAUACUCAAACUUUUCGUCUCUAUUAAAAUUCCAAUUUUUACAACUCUUCCUUCUUCGCAGCUAUGGAGAAAGAAGGCAGCGUCUUCCGAUGCUUCAAGACCCGAUCGGGUUCGACCUUGCCAGACUUCAACAAAUGGCGCCCUGCGAUUCGUGAACGCUAUUUGCUUCACGCUUAUCAUUCAUCUCGGGUUAAUUCCGUUUUUUUUUUUUUUUUUUUGUUGUUAUUUUUUUUUUAUGUAUUGCCAUUCUUCAAGCUGACUCGCCAUCCCGGGUUUAUAAUGCCAGGCUCAUAGCGAACUUAACGAUAUGAUCGAACAUUACGAAGGGUUGGUCAUUGGACGGGAGAAGGAGAUUGACAUGUGGAAGAAGAAAUUCUCAGCCCUUGAGGCUGAACUCAAUUCUUCUGCUGGCUCCAAGCACGAUCUGGAGGACAAGGUUGACAGUUUAACAUCCGAGCUGGCGCAGGUAAAGGGGGAGCUGCAAGACCAGUAUGACCGGAAUUACAAACUCCAGGAUGAACUUUCUGGUGUUCAGGGUAGACUUCAUGAAUCCGAAUCAACCGCCGAUACCCUGAACAACCAAUUUAUCGAGCUUGACGCGAAGUACAAGGCGCUGGCCAAGUUGCGUGAUUCCGAGUUAGCAAGGUCGGCAUCGAAGGCCAGAAAGGAGGUUAAGGGACGCGGGAUGGAAUUGAUCCAAGGGGCCAUUCGCUUCAUGCAAACCGAGAAGGCUACGUCGGACUUGGAGUCAGACAUCAAGGAGCAUGAAAGCAACCUGAUUCUGCUGGAUCAAAUCCAUGAAGCAGAUUUCUCCGAGGAGCAAGAAAGGACCGAGCUGUGAACUAACCUUUCUGAAAAACGGAGUCGCUUGGCAGCUCUUCCCACUUCGACCUUCAACCCGCUUGACUUCGAGGAAUUCUUUACUGAAUCACCUCCUAUAAGUGAAUCGGGUUUAGACUGGGCAGGUAACGCUUGGCUCCUAACGCUUACCUUUUCUUACCUUGUACCUUUGAUUGACUGGAAUUAUUAUUUCUAGGCUCAAGUGAAACGGAAGGCGUUGUCCCGCCCGUAGCUCCUAUGGUACCGGAGGUCACUCCGGAGGUUGGUUGUACCGCGGAGGGUGGUCAGGGAGCUUCAUCUGAUCAAGCUGAGCCGGGAUCUGAGGUGGAGGUCAAUCCGUAGUGGCUGUGUCCACUUUAAACUGGGAAUUGUCCCAUUUAGUUUAAACUCAAUUUCGAACUUGUUUUUUGGCCUAAGGAGGCUUUAUAAUUUCUUUUGAACAAGAUAUUUGCCUGAGGAGGCUUUUAAACCUUUCUAGGUUACGACCCAAGGGGGUUUGGUUAAAACUAUAUGCGGGUUUGCAAAGUCCGCUUUUAACCUUUUGUGGCCUUGUGGCUAUGCUUUCGAGAUUUUUAGGCUGAUCAGACCUUUCUCUUUAGAUUGCGAGAGCUGAGCUCGGCUUAAAGCGAGUUCCCCACUUCGGGUUUAGUCAACUCGAUGAAUUUAUUGGGCUUGGGCCUUAGAAACUUUUGUAGUUAAUGCGACGGUUGCUCUUUCCCUUCUUAUAAGUAAGGAAAACGGCUCGUCUUUUAAUGCAAUAACUGCCUUUUCUCGAUUUUCCAAAAAUGGUUUAAACCACUCGGACACUCUACCAUUAAUGGAUUUAUGGUUCCAAGACAAACCCUAAAUCAUUAUAAAUAAAGGCUUACCUACCUCCAAGCUUUAUUUAACUACGUUUUUUUUAGAGUCUUACUUGAGUAAUUUGCGAGAAUGGAAAACGAAAAAGUAGCCCCCAUUGAUCCCGGCAGCCCACUCUUCUUGUCCGGCGACGGCUUUGAACCGGCCGGCGUUCUCUUCCCUCACGCCGUCUUUCACUUUCCCUCAAAGGAGAAGAAAGAGGCUUGCGAUUUUAUUGACAAGGUAAAAGUUUUUUGAUUCAAAAACUUUUUGUUUCAUCUUAUUCACUCAUCUUUUAUGCUAGGUCGCCGACAAGCACCGUCGCUUGUGUGAAGAGAGGCAGCGGCUGGGCCUCAAAAGGCAAACACUCGAGGCUCGCAUUGCUUGGGUGGAGAGGAAGAUACGGGCCUUGGAAAGUGAUCCCUUUCAAUGGGAGUGGCGGAACUUCGACUCCGUCGCUGAGAUCCCGAAGAUGCUUCGGAUGUAUCUCCGCGCUAAAGGAGUCCCGGGUCUCGUGAACGCCCCCGUCUGCGCCGUUCCAUCUGACAGCGAAGAAGAAGACGAAGAGGAAGCCAGCACCUGUCGGAAACGCGUUCGGGAUCAUCCCGAAGUGGAUGCCAAGAACAAGGCGUCCACUUCGAAGACUAAACCGGCGAUGAAGGAGCCUGUUCCUGAGCCUCUUCCAUAAAUGUCCCCUAACUUCUUUACUUACUUUAAACUCGUAAUGGGCUUCGGCCCCUUUUUUAUUUAUGGAAAUAUUUGCAACUUUCCUUUCUUUUCAAAUAUUCUCGGAGAUGCGUCUUUUAAUGCAGGAUCUGUUCGAGGGAAUAAAUCUCUCCGCGAAUCACUCCAUUCUUUGGAUAGAAUCCGCAGCUUGCUAAGGAUAUGGGGUUCCUAUAAAUAAUAGUUUCAAUUUCACUUUACUCCUCACGAUUCUUUUUAUUUUAGUAGGUAUGGAGUUCAAUCUUCGCUGUUCAGAAUCCAUGCCUGACUUCUCCAGAAUCGGAAUGAUGAGCGGAGAUGUUCCAAAUGAGCCAAACAGGCAACCUCCUCCACCUCGCGGCUUCUUAAGAUCUCAGAUCCGAGCCCCAUGUGCUUUGAUCAGGGAUCUCCCAAUCAGAGACCAAGGAACAGCAACGGCGUUCAUAGAGGCACUGGAGCUUCAACACCGGAAGCUUAUGUCGGAAAAGAGGAGACUCCGGAAGAAGAUUAACCGGAUGCAACGCAGGCUUACUACGGUGUCAAGAGAUCUUCACGUCCUUGAAUCUCACCCCGGAGAGUGGAUUGAGCUUGGAAUUUCUGACUUUGCUCGAAUUCCGGACUGCAUGAUGCCGAUCCUCGAUCUUGCUGGUCAAGGAGUUGAAGUGUUCUGCUCGUCAACAAGAUUUUCAUAAUCCGAAGUGUACGAUGAGGGACAUUCCAUUUUUUGAAUAAACGUUCUAUUUCCAAUUUCUUGUAUGUUCGCUUAGUCGAACCUUCUAUAUGCUUCACUUGUUCGCACAGUCGAACCUUUUUCCUUUAAUAAAGAAAUAAAACAAAUUUUUAUUAAUAGCUGAACUCGUUUCCGAGCUGCCUACGUACCCAUUUCGGGAUCAAGCCACACCGUAGUUCAUGUACAAAAACAAUGUAUGUAGCUUUAAACAUAAAACUUCUUUAGGUUGAUCACAUUCCAAGGUCGCUUGACUGGAUUGUCUUCUAAGUCUUUCAACCUAUAAACACCGUUCCGAACCACUUCGGUAAUAAUGUAAGGUCCUUCCCAAUUAAUACCGAGUUUACCGGCACCUUCUUCUUUUUUGUUGUCAAAGACGCGCCUUAAUACAUAAUCUCCCACGAAGAAAGGCCUACUUUUAACCUUAGAAUUGUAAUACCGGGCUGCUGCCUGCUGGUAAUUCUGGAUCCGAAUUAGAGCUUGAUCACGCCUUUCAUUUAUGGUAUCUAGUGAAUCAUUAAGCAUUGCUGAAUUUUCUUCCUCAUUUAACGGUGCUUCUGUUCGGCGUAGUCCGGGCACAUUGAGUUCUGCUGGUACUACCGCCUCCAUGCCGUAAACCAAAGAGAAUGGAGUUUCUCCUGUAGGUCGCCUAGGGGUUGUACGAUAGGCCCACAGGACGGGUUGGAGUUCUUCAUACCAUCCUCCCUUUAGAUGACUUAAGCGCUUCUUGAGGUUGCUUAAUAUUGUCUUGUUCGCGGCUUCAGCUUGACCGUUUCCUUGCGGAUAUCGUGGAGUAGAAUAACUAACUUUAAUUCCCCAGUCCGCACAAAAGGCAUCAAACUCGUGUGAAAUGAAUUGCGGUCCAUUAUCAGUGACUAUUUCGUAUGGAACUCCAUGUCGACAUAUAAUGUUUUUCCAAAUAAAGGUCUUCACCGCCGAAUCCUUGAUACUAACAUACGCCUCAGCUUCAAUCCAUUUUGAAAAGUAGUUCGUAAGGACUAAAAGGUACUGUACACCUUGAGUUGAUUUGUGUAAUGGUCCAAUGAUGUCCAUUGACCACCUCAUAAACGGGUAUGGGGCGGAAAUGGAGGAGAACAAUUCCGACGGUUGAUGGAUCAAUGGUGCAUGGAGUUGGCAGCGCUUGCAUCUUUGGGCGAACUUAACAUAAUCUGUGAUCAUAGUGGGCCAAUAAUACCCCAUUCUUUUAACUUUAAAAGCCAUAGCUCUUCCUGAUGAAUGACUCCCACAUAAUCCUUCAUGCACUUCGCUCAUGAUGAUUUCGACUUCGGGCCCAAAAAUGCAUAAUAGAUAAGGGUCACUGACACCUCGUCUAUAUAACGCAUCCUUUGACAGACAAAAUUUUGCGCUAACGACUUUCACUUUCCUGGCCUGCCAUUUAUUCUUUGGGAGCUCACCUGUCGUGAUGUAGUGCUUUAUUGGCUCCCUCCAGUUAGCCCCCCAGUCUUUAGCCGGAAUUUGGUCAACUUUGUGAAAUAUUCGUGGCUCUGGUUCGGGAUGCUCGUUUGGUUCAAGAACAUCCUCCUCGAUUAACGGUUCGGUUUCUAAUAUUGUUUCUGGAAUCACAUCUUCAGCUAAGACAACGGGUUCCUUGUUAGAUGUAUUUGAUCCCCUUGACUUCCUCCGUUUGUUGGGUGGCGGUUCGAUCUCUGGUUCGCCACGGUCGCGUGCCGCUGCUCGAGACCUUGUAACGACGAGGGUUUCUUUGCUGUCUUGAAUGCUUCGCUCCGAAAUGCAUUCCACUGGAAUAACUCUUUUCAACUCAGGAUCUGAUGUUGACGCUAAUGCGGCAAGUGCAUCCGCAGUUGUAUUCUCUCCUCGAGGUAUGCGGAUUAAUUCAAAUUUUGAGAAAUUUUUAGAUAGAUCCUUCACCACUUCGAGGUACGCUUCCAUUCUUGAGUCUUUGGCUUCAUAGUCCCCAUUAAACUGGUUAACUACUAAUUGCGAAUCGCAAUAAGCCAAUAUUUCCUUAGCUCCAAUUCCUUGUGCUAAUCGAAGUCCGGCAAUUAGGGCUUCGUAUUCUGCCUCGUUGUUGGAGGCAUUGAAUAACAACCGGAAUGAUUGCUCUAGAACUUCUGAUGUUGGAGAUUCCAACUUGAUUCCCACUCCGGAUCCUUGCUUUGUUGAAGACCCAUCUACGUGUAACUUCCAAGUUUGGUUCUCCGAAUGCUCUAUUGUUCCAGGUAUUGGUAGCUCGGUUAAGAAAUCUGCUAGAACCUGAGCUUUCAUACUGAUCCGGCUUUUGAAUUCUAUAUCGUACUCGCUUAACUCCACCGCCCAUUUCGCCAAACGUCCGGACUGACUUGGACUAUGAAGUAUUGUUCGGAGUGGUUGGUUAGUUAAUACUUCAACCGGAUGGGAUUGAAAAUAUGGACGCAGCUUCCGAGCCGAAGUUACCACCGCGAGUGCAAGUUUUUCCAUCAUUGUAUAUCUGGUUUCCGGAUCCGUCAUUGACUUGCUCACGUAGUAAAUUGGUUUCUGCUCCCCACGGUCUUCCCGAACCAAGACUCCACUAACCGCGUGGUUUGAAACCGAUACGUAUAAAUAAAGUUUUUCAUCCACUUCCGGUUUGGACAAUAUAGGUGGAGUGGUUAAGUAUGCCGUAAGCUGCCCAAAAGCUUCUUCACACUUCUCAUCCCAAAGGAAUCCUUUGUUCCCUUUUAGAAUUUGGUAGAAAGGUAACGACUUAUCUGUUGAUCUCGAGAUAAAACGAUUCAAAGCCGCAAUCCGCCCCGUCAACCGUUGUACUUCUUUGAAGUUUCUUGGAGACGGCAUGUUUAGAAAGGCGUUAAUUUGAUUUGGAUUGGCUUCAAUCCCUCUUUCUGUCACGAUAUAGCCAAGAAAUUCUCCAGAUGGGACUCCAAAUGUGCACUUCGCCGGGUUCAGCUUCAUUUGAUAUUUAUUGAGAAUAUCAAAACAUUCCUCCAAAUGCUUCAUUUGAUCUUCUUUCUUAAACGAUUUAACCAACAUAUCAUCUAUGUAGACUUCCAUUGUCUUCCCGAGAUGAUUAUGGAACAUCUUGUUAACCAACCGUUGAUAAGUUGCUCCUGCAUUUUUCAAACCAAAAGGCAUCACUUUAUAACAAUAGAUACCUCUAUCUGUGAUAAAUGACGUCUUUUCUUGAUCUUCCGGGUUCAUUACUAUUUGAUUGUAACCCGAGAAGGCGUCCAUGAAUGUUAAUAACUCGUUCCCAGCGGUGGACUCUACAAGUCGAUCUAUAAGUGGGAGUGGGAAACUAUCUUUGGGACAUGCUUUAUUUAGGUCUGUGAAAUCGAUGCAAACCCUAUCUUUCCCAUUCUUCUUUUUGACAACGACAGUGUUUGCUAUCCAUUCCGGGUAUUGCACUUCUUUUAUGGAUCCUAUCUUCAAAAGUUUAUCUACUUCGUCAUUUACUAUUUUGGCUCGCUCCACUCCGAGCUUUCUUCUUUUCUGUUUCACCGUCUUGAAGCUCGGAUCUACGUUUAGCUCGUGACAAAUUAUACUUGGAUCUAUACCAGGCAUGUCUGCUGCUGACCAUGCAAACGAUGUUUUGUUUCUCUUUAAAAGUUCGACCAAAGCUUCUUUUAUCUGGCCAGUCAGAGUUGCUCCAAUUCGAAUUUUCCGGUCCGGCUUGUCUUCUUCCAACACCACUUCGAUUACUACAUCAUCUUUCUUCUGCCCGCUAGGAAAUUUUGUUCUUAGUCCCUCUUUUGCGGGCUUCGUUAAUUGCUAUUGAAUCUUCAUACGGUGGCUAGCUAGGUAACACGUCCGUGAAGCUUCUUGAUCUCCCCGAAUUGUUUCCACCCCAUUUGAUGUUGGAAAUUUGAUACAUUGAUGGUAUGUAGAGGGGACUGCUUUCAUUCGAUAAAUCCAGGGAGUCCCAAGGAUGAUGUUGUAAGCUGCGGGCUUAUCGAAGACAACGAAGUCCACGAUCUUCGAUACCUUCUUGGCAAGGACCGGUAGCUUGAUUGUUCCGAGAGACAUGGCUGACUCGCUUGUGAACGCAACUAACGGAGAUGGGGGUCCUACUAUGUCUCCUCGGCUGAUUCCCAUUCUUUCUAGAGUACUUAAAAAGAUCAAAUCGACCGAACUGCCUGUAUCUAUAAGGAGCCUUGAUACUUCGAAGUUGGCAACGUCAAGGGUAAUGACUAGAGCAUCAUCAUGCGGUCUUUCGAGGUACCGCGUUUCUUCUUCAUUAAAUGAUAUCGAUGCACCUUGAAAAUCGACUUCCUCGCUUAAGCUUGCUUUGAGUAGGAUAUUUCGUCUAUGUUUUUUGAUGGAACUUAUCGAAUCUCCGCAAAAUUUUGAGCCUCCUAGGAUCACAUUGAUCUUACCCUUCGAACUCCUUGGUUCUUCCCCGUUGGAUAACCUUGGUCUUUUGGAAUCUUGAUCUUUGGAGUUUUCCUUUGUUUCGUGGUAUUCCUUCACAAAAUCUUUUAUAUCGAAUUUGGAAAGAUCUCCACUGGCCCAAAGCUCUGCGAGGUGCUUUUUAAGAACGCUGCAAUCCUUGGUUAAAUGUCCGGUUACUUUAUGAAUAUCGCAAUAUAGACUUUCAUCACGGACCCAAGUGUUUGAUCUUCCUUUCCCUUGGAAUUGCUUUCCGACGGUACUGUUGAAGGGUUGCGACCCAAAUUUCCUUGGUCCUUUGCUCUCCCUAGGCUCGAACUUCUUGGUAGGGACGGUGAUUACCGGCUUUUCUUGUUUAUUCCUUUUGGCAAAACUUUCUUUUUCGUCCUCUACCUCCAUCCAGUUGUUCGCGCGAAAGAGUGCAUCCUGAAUUGUGUCUGGUUUAUGAAGUAUUAAGUCUUCUUUAAACCUUGAAUCAUGUCGCAAUCCUUUUCGUAGGGCAGAUAAAGCUGAUUGCUGCGAGAUUCUUGGGAGCUUUGACAGCACUCCUUUGAAUUUUGUGAUGAAAACUCGAAGUGACUCAUUAGAUCCUUGCGAUAAGUUCCAAAGAUCGGCAUCCGAAACGCUUUUAUCCAUAAGGAUGGAGUAUUGCUUUAAGAAUACGGCUGACAGUUCGUCGAAAUUGCUGAUCGAACCCGGCUCUAAUUGGGUGAACCACAUUAGAGCUUGGCCACAUAGAUUCUCCGAAAAAAGCUUGCAGUAGCCUGCGUCCUCAUCAGCUUCAUCUAAUUCGACUCUUCCAGCAGCGAUCAGAAAAGCUGCGAGAUAGCUUUUUGGAUCCUCCAAUCCGCUGUAAGGGUCCAACUUGAGUUUCCGGGAAUCUUUGAUCCUCAAACUUGCAAUUCGUGAGAUGAAAGGUGUUCGCCUAGCCUCUUCAAUGACUCGAUUGAUGUCUGGCUCCGAACUUGUAGCUUGAUGAAAUUUUGAUUUCAUUUCUUUUAAUUCAUGGCUAACCUUCCUCAUGGUCUCGAACUGGUCGAGGUUCUCUUGCUCGUAUUGAGCUGCAAGUUGUUCUUCAUCUCCGAGCUGUGUCUCUUCUUCCAACGUCUGAGCUACAUUAUUAGUAGCACCAGGAGUUGUUUGUCCGCUGGUUUCAUUUCGUGCAGCGGAACUUGGCGAGUUGAAUAUCCCUCUUCGGAUUCCCACAAGGUUUCCUGCACUUAAAGAGCGAACACGAGUUUGUAUAGUAUUGACGUUUUGACUAAGAGAUACCUGGGAUGUUUGCAACGUAUCGGCGGCCUUUUCCACAUCCGAGAACUUUUGUGAUAUGUCCGACAUGGUUUGCUGCAUAGCUUUGAGGGUUUCAGCCAAUGAUGUCUCAACGGUGUCUCCUCCGGACAUUGUUGCUUAUCUCGGAAGUGUAGUAAAGAAAAAAUCUGACCACUCAAGAAUCCUAAUUCUCCCCACAGACGGCGCCAAAAUGUGGAUGUCGGAUUCACACACUCAAGUAUUUUAUUAAGUAGGAAAGAUUAUUCUUGAGGGACAAAAAUGAAUAGGUAAAAACUUCUAAAUUGCUACGAAAAUUGUUAUAGUAUUUCUUUCUUGAGAGGAAGAUCCCCUUACAUGGCCAUUGGCCUUUAUAUUUAUACAUAGAGAAUCGUCAUUAAAAUGAAUAAUUAAGUACAAUUAUUCCCUCUUAAAUGUGUCCGUUUUGAUUCUUCGCCUUUAAUGCCCAACGUUUGAAUUUGAGUUGACUCUGAUCUCCAUGGGCCUCGCCCUUUCUGGCCCAAGUGUCCUUGAACCGACUUACCCAUGUCUUCUACAUCGAACUCGUGUCACAGUGCAGCCACUUCGAACUCUCGAAGUGGUGAUAACCACUUCGAACUCUCGAAGUGGUGAUAACCACUUCGACCGUUCCUUCGGCUCAUGGGUUCAAUGGGCUUUGUCCUUUAUGGGCCAUUAUCUUGACUACGUGGUAAUCUUUGGUUGGUCCCGGACUUCUAGUGCGGGAUCCGACACCAACAGCUGUGUAUCGUGUCCUGCAGUACAUAAAAGGCACGGUUGGACAAGGGUUGUUCUAUUCUGCAACAUCAGACCUUACAUUGAAAGGUUUUGCUGACUCUGAUUGGGCAUCCUGUUCUGAUAGCCGCAAGUCUACUACUGGUUUUACCAUGUUUGUAGGUGAUUCUUUGAUUUCUUGGAGAUCUAAGAAGCAACCUAUUGUUUCACGUUCUUCUGCGGAGGCAGAGUAUAGAGCUUUGGCACUUGCAACCAGUGAAUUGAUUUGGUUACACAGAUUACUUCAAGACUUACGGGUUACUUUUGUCACUGUUCCAAUACUGUUUUCAGAUAGCACUGCCGCCAUCUAUAUAGCCACUAAUCCAGUCUUCCAUGAAAGAACGAAGCAUAUAGAGAUUGAUUGCCAUACGGUUCGAGAGAGAUUGGAUAAUGGCACACUAAAGCUAUUACAUGUUCACACGGAGGAUCAGGUUGCUGAUAUACUCACUAAGCCCUUGUUUCCUCACCAAUUUGAGCACCUUAAAUCCAAGAUGAGCAUUUUGAACAUUUUUGAAUGCACAUCUUGAGGGGGACUAUUGGAGUGUGGUUAUCCCCGGUUUAGUUUAAUUUAUCUUGGUUAUGUUAACCGAGAUUGUAUAGCUUUAGUAUACUUGUAUAAAUACUAUGUACAGAUACAUUUUACAAUCUAAUGAGAAAUAAACAUUCAUAACAAACUUUCUCAUCUUCUUCUCUCUCAAGUAAUAGGUGUUGUCAAAUACUCUGAACAAAACCCAUUUUACAUAUAUAUUCGAAACAAUUAUAAAAGGAUUCAAGCAACUGGAUAGUAAGCACGGUGGGCCAAACCACACAUUCCUUGAGGUUCAUCCACGUCUCUCUUGAUUCUCAUGUAACCAUUCUCUCCCCAAGAUUCUCCCCAUGAGUUCUUCAGCAACCAAUACUUAAUCCCUUCUUCACUCGUACCAUAACCAACAAUCGUAACAGCGUGAUGCGAAUCCGUCCCACAGUACUCAUCCUCGAAUAUCCCGCUGGAGUAGUGCUUAAAGUUAGCCCCUGACCCAACUAUCCCAACAGAGAAACUGGCUGUUGAGACACCGCUUUUAGCAAUGCUUCCUCAUCAUCUUUUGGAACCGCCUCGUAUCCGCUGAUGGUAGCAGCAGCUGGAUCAGUUGACUUACAGGUUUGUUGUACUGCCUGGUAGGGAUAGUUUUCCUCACUGGUGAUUCCUUGGUUUUCUUUUAUGUAGUCGUAAGCUGUCAAAGCUAACCCUCCGUCACAUCCCAUGUUGUUGUUGGCUGUGCUGCAAUCCACUAGUUGCUGCUCAGACAGCGAUACAAGCUCUCCAUUCGCAAUCUUUGUUACCCCUUCCACAGCCGCCACCGCCGCAAAAGCCCAACAACAUCCUGUUUCAUUUCAAUAAAUUUUAUUUUUAGUGUAGUAGUAUAUUUCAUAUAUUUGAUAGUCAUUUAUCUGCAACAACAAUCAUAAAAUUUUUUGGCACCUCUAAUUAUAGCUAAAAUACCAUUUUUGCAUUCUUUGAAAUGUGUCAUUAACACAAAGUAGAGUUAACAAUGAAUAGAAUAUAUGCAUAAUUUAAUUUAAUUACCACAUUGGCCUUGGUCCUUAACGGGUGUAACGGCCCCUUCCAGUCUCCAAUCCAUGCUCUCACCGGUUUCACUGACAUUUUCAUAUCUAAACGACACCGUUUUCUGGGAAUCUCCGGUCAUACCUUCCGGCACCAGCCCCAUGUACCUCGCCUGAAAUUCCUCGUCGGUAAGAUCAGAGAACUUGUUGACAUCCAACUUGUACGUAUUGUUCGUAUUCAUGUUGAAGCUCUCAACGAACUUUAAGUUCUUCUUAAAGAUCUCGAACCUACUCGUUUUCUCAGAAUCGUCCGAGUAAACGCGAUUGAAUCGAGACAUCCAUUGCUCAUGUUUUUCAAUAGCAGAAGCUUCAAAGAGCCCCCCCACGAGAUGUGGCUCCUGAAGUUCUGGAACUCAAAAGAAUGGCUAGAAUCAAGAAAAUGAUCGAAGCCAUUCUCCUAUAGAAAGAAAUGUUUUGAUAGAAGUGUUUAGGUUUAUAUGACUUGGUUGCUAAGAAAGGCGUAUGAGAAGGUGCUAUAUAUUGAGUUGUGAACUGUGAAGUGUGAACUUGGUUGCGUGUUUAAUGUGUUUUCUUUUUAAACUUUGAAUAUUCUACGAGGUUUUGAUAGCUUCCUUGCCAAUUUCUUCCACAUGCUACGACGUCAAGUCAAUGGCGUUAUUUGUUUACUUCUGAGAAGAAAUUAAACCAACAAUGAUUUCGAUGGGUUACCGCAGUUUACAAGCUUUUUGGGGUUCGAACUUUACAUGAACUCAGGCUAAAGGCCAUGACACCAAUCAGUAGCCCACGCACAAUGACUUCCAAAGGAGAAUCAAACCCGAAACCGUAACAAGUUUACGUCAUAAACCAUGUACCUUCAACUAUACGUACAAGUUUAUAUUCUCAAAUAUAUAUACGUAUUUAUUCUUAUAAAAAGAAUCUAAUUGCUUUGUUUAUAGUUGAAGGUAUGGUCCGUUUUAAAUUACUGAUACCACGUUUAAUCAUGUGUAUUCCUAUAUAUGUGUUUCAUGCUUUCCACUUUAAAACUAAAGUAUUCUACUCUUCUACGAAUUUUCAAACAUCAUACUUUCCAUUUUAAAUCUAAACUAAUUUCUCGUUUUUUUUUUUUUUUUUUUUAAUAACUUAUAGUCUCCUUUUAAAUUCUAAAAAUUGUGACGUUAUUAUAGUGACUGAAGCUCAUAGAGCCUAAGACACUCCAAACAAAACCCAAGUUAUACAGUCAGUGCCGUGACAAGCGAAAACCAACUAUACCGGGUCGUAUCAAAAGAUGAAAAGGAAGAAGGAGAACCAUAUAACAAAUUUUACUGUGUUGUUUUUUCCAUAUUUUUUUUAAUAUAAAUAUCACUAUUGCCUCAGAAAUCUGAUCUAAUAUCGAUCUAAAUCGAAGCAUUAGUUUCCAAUAAUAAACCCCUAUGAAGUAUGAAAUAUGAUAGUGACUUUGAAUAUAACCAGAUUACCCGAGAAUAUUUGAAUUGUGGACUCCAAAAUUUUAAGUGAAUUAAUGGAAUUUAGAACGUUUCAGUCAACUUUCACAUCAAUGGAACAUACUUUUUAUUAGAUUCAGUUUAGACUCUUCAAGUUUGAUUGGAGUUAAUAUAGUCGUUAAAUCUUUUUUUUUUUUUUGUAAACCAGUCGUUUAAUCAAAUAUAUAUAUCCCAUAUAUAUAUAACUCGAAUUUGAAACAAUAGGGUUUUGACUUUCUUUCCUCUUCAGUCUUCUGGAUCUUCUUCUCCACCUGAAGUAUCAGUAUAAAAAGAAAUGUUAGAUGAUUAAUAAAAUUGUUACUACUUAGCUUUCUUAAUUUCAUCGCAUAUGCAAAACAUAAAAUAUAGAUGGACCAAAACAUGCACAUGUCACGAAUAGAAGUAGAAAGCUAAUAUGAUCAUUUUCUUUUUAAGGAAAAAAUAGGUUGAGUCACUUUUUGUGUCAUUUCUUUUAUCACAACCUUUGAUAGAAAAGACACAUGCUUGCUAACACUGUUGUUAAUAAGUCUAGCUUAUUAAACAUGUUUUCCUUUGUGCAUUUUUUGCUAAGCUCUAAUUACCAAUACACACUUAAUAAUGCAUUUUAUUAUACCAACGUAAUACAUGCUUCAAACAAACUUCCAAAAUACUUAAAAUACAUUUGACUGCCACAGGUCAAUUAUUCAUAUGGGUGUUGUCAAAUACUCUGAACAAAACCCAUUUUACAUAUAUAUUCGAAACAAUUAUAAAAGGAUUCAUCAAGCUACUGGAUAGUAAGCAAGGCUGGCCAAACCACACAUUCCUUGAG
This 20009-nucleotide long non-coding RNA is filed under the name Arabidopsis lyrata. RNAcentral describes it as "long non-coding RNA (ALYR_LNC001762)". The record is from RNAcentral. Lineage: Eukaryota; Viridiplantae; Streptophyta; Magnoliopsida; Brassicales; Brassicaceae.